This 72-nucleotide transfer RNA is filed under the name Aliterella atlantica CENA595. It matches the Rfam family "tRNA". From Rfam's summary of the family: Transfer RNA (tRNA) molecules are approximately 80 nucleotides in length. Their secondary structure includes four short double-helical elements and three loops (D, anti-codon, and T loops). The record is from Rfam by way of RNAcentral. Lineage: Bacteria; Bacillati; Cyanobacteriota; Cyanophyceae; Chroococcidiopsidales; Aliterellaceae. RNAcentral also lists the same sequence under 1 other name.
CGGGGUGUAGCUCAGGGGGAGAGCGCCUGCUUUGGGAGCAGAAUGUCGUGGGUUCAAAUCCUACCACUCCGA